ACUGUGUGUGUGUGCAGGUUUCCCUCCUCCCAGCGGCCCCCCUCCCUCUCUCAUCCCCACCUUGGACAGCAGUGGGCAUCCAGGUGGAUAUGAUGUUCGUCCCGUUCCACCAUACCCCUUCCCCACAGGUGGUUUCCCUCCCCCUAUGACAGGUGGCUACCCUCCUCCUAUGCCAGGUGUGGUGUCUCCAUGGCCUCCUAUGAUGGACCAGUCUAAACAGUGGGACUACUACCCUCCAGGACCGGGACCAGGACCAGGACCAGGACCCAGACGGGAGGACAAGAGGGAGAAGGAGAGAGAGAGACCCAGGGAGAGACCACAUGAGAGGGAGAGAGAGCGAGAGCACAGCCCCUCCACUAUGGGUUACAACAGGUUAG
Oncorhynchus gorbuscha (pink salmon) is the source of this 377-nucleotide long non-coding RNA. RefSeq lists it as uncharacterized. The record is from RefSeq and is a predicted model, not a curated record. Lineage: Eukaryota; Metazoa; Chordata; Actinopteri; Salmoniformes; Salmonidae. The transcript has 5 exons.